Molecule: small RNA, 726 nt
Filed under: Pongo abelii (Sumatran orangutan)
Lineage: Eukaryota; Metazoa; Chordata; Mammalia; Primates; Hominidae
Description: retained intron
Source: RNAcentral
AGAUGCACAGGAGGAGAAGCAGGAGCUGUCGUGAAGAUCAGAAGCCAGUCAUGGAUGACCAGCGCGACCUUAUCUCCAACAAUGAGCAACUGCCCAUGCUGGGCCGGCGCCCUGGAGCCCCGGAGAGCAAGUGCGGCCGCGGAGCCCUGUACACAGGCUUUUCCAUCCUGGUGACUCUGCUCCUGGCUGGCCAGGCCACCACUGCCUACUUCCUGUACCAGCAGCAGGGCCGGCUGGACAAACUGACAGUCACCUCCCAGAACCUGCAGCUGGAGAACCUGCGCAUGAAGCUUCCCAAGCCUCCCAAGCCUGUGAGCAAGAUGCGCAUGGCCACCCCGCUGCUGAUGCAGGCGCUGCCCAUGGGAGCCCUGCCCCGGGGGCCCAUGCAGAAUGCCACCAAGUAUGGCAACAUGACGGAGGACCAUGUGAUGCACCUGCUCCAGGUGAGUGCAGGGAGCUAGCCGGGUGGCCCUGCCUGCCCACCCAGGACCCUGGCCAGGCCGAGUUCCAAGGCCUGUAUACCUGGCUCAUGGCAGACUUUCAACAUGUGCUCUCUGGAUUACUGAAUACAAGGGUGACCCUUAAAUGUUAUAUGUAGUCUGGCCUCUCUGCAUUUUCGAGAUAAACAGGCAUGGCUGGGUGCAGUGGCUCAUGCCUGUAAUCUCAGCACUUUGGGAGGCCUAGGCGGGUGGAUCACCUGAGGCCGGGAGUUCGAGACCAGCCUGG